This is a non-coding RNA of Myodes glareolus (Bank vole), 565 nucleotides long. The record is from RefSeq and is a predicted model, not a curated record. NCBI's taxonomy places the organism in Eukaryota, Metazoa, Chordata, Mammalia, Rodentia, Cricetidae.
CUGCGCGGACGGUCCCCACCCCCUCGAUGCCUGUCGGCUCGUGUGCGGAUGAGUUGCCCGGGUCUGAAGGGUUUGGUGGGGCCAGCAGGAAGGAAGCUGCUGAAGAGAGAGGGGCGUAUGGAUACGACGGAGGUGAUAAAGGCGCAUCCGCUGAGUCUGGGCGGGGCGGAGAGCAGAGGACAGUGAGAAGCGGAAGUACACAUGUGAAACUUAUGGUCCCUCCCUGCCAGAGUGAGCAAUAAAAGCAAGAGUUCUCCUCAGAGGGGAGGAAGCUAAGCUGCAAAGACUCAUAGGAAAGAAGACUCACAGACCAGACUGUGCCUGGAAGAGGUUAAGACUGCCUGAGGCAUCUGGAAGGGACUCUCCAACCUGUUGAGCUGUCUGCAGACUGUGCAGUGUGCUCCAGGUUCCCAGCUUUGUGAGCUGUCAGCAUGCUGGAAUGGGCUUUGGUAAUGCAGCUGUCUUUGAGUUAUUUCUGCACCUGUAUGUAACCCCUCACCCAUACUCCUGUAAGCAAUCCCAAUAAAACGCCAUGGUUCACAAAGUUGGAAUUUGGACAUACCUG